UGCACCCCAAGUCCCAGUCCAAAAUAAAGUAAAACAAUUAUUAUAACAAGUUACAAGCACGAGCUAAACUAAGUACAACCGAUUCUACCGCCAUUCACUUUGUCGUCAUUCGCAAGGGGCUACAACCUGAAACACGACAAAAAAAAGAAGCUUCGAUUCAAAGGUAAUCAUCCAAACAUUCCUAUUCAAAAGUAUUCAUGCAAUAUUUAUACACAAAUUUUGUGGCACCUAUAUUCUCUUAAAAAUCAUCCUCGAAUAUUCAUUACGACCAAUAAAGGGAACGUUUCAUGUUGAUAAACGUGCUGGAAAACCCUAAAAUAAGAUUCAAAACUUAACAAGUUGCUGGAAUUUUAUCAAGGAUGACCCUAAAUAAUAACAUUUCAAACAAAUGGGUAAUUUUUUUAAAAAGGUUCAGAUUACUAAACUCAUCGUAACAACAAAAUAGUCCAGAUUUUAUUUCAAGUGACCUAAUCAAACAAAUCGUGGAAUGGGCGCUUCCCAAAAGAAAUGCAUUCAUGGUUGAGGCAUUGAGGAUGAUUAGAAAUGGAGGGUUCAACCUUUUACCUUUCUCGUCCUUUGCUCCGGCGAGUCCGUCGUCGACGGAGACUUUUAUUUUUGUUUCCUGCUUCUGCCUCUCCGGCUUCGCCAUUCCCCAUUUUUAUUGAAAACAGAAACCAAUAUAAUGACAACAGAAAUUAGGGAAAGCAUAUAAAAAUCAGAAAACUCAGAUCGUAAAUCCACAGAUCGGGGUUUGCAGACAACAUGCAAACCCGAAUCGAAGUCAAAACAGAGAAAAAACUAAAGUAGAAAGAAGGGUUUUCAUGUUUUUACCAUUUCUUCCUUCUGUUUUUCUUUCUUUGUUCGUUGUGGGAGAAGAGAGGAGGCGGAGGCGGCGGAGCCCGUCGCCGUCGGCGAGACCAGAA
Molecule: long non-coding RNA, 923 nt
Filed under: Linum usitatissimum (flax)
Lineage: Eukaryota; Viridiplantae; Streptophyta; Magnoliopsida; Malpighiales; Linaceae
Description: long non-coding RNA (LUSI_LNC003508)
Source: RNAcentral